RNAcentral lists this long non-coding RNA (332 nucleotides) under Glycine max (soybean). RNAcentral describes it as "long non-coding RNA (GMAX_LNC003837)". Lineage: Eukaryota; Viridiplantae; Streptophyta; Magnoliopsida; Fabales; Fabaceae. The record is from RNAcentral.
GAGGGCGGAGGCGGAGGCGAGUAGGAGGAGCCUGGUGGCGGGGGAGGGGGAGAGGAAGGCGAGGAAGCGCGGGAGGGGGGAGAAGGCGAAGAGGAUGGCGUAGACGAAGAUGGUGGUGGCGAGGAGGCGCGCGGAGUGGAGGCGGAAGGCGGCGGCGGCGGAGUGGAGGGAGGGGGUGGUGUGGAGGGAGAGGAGGGUAGAGUGGACGGCUGCGAGGGCGGCGGCGAGGGAGAGGAGGUAGGAGGGGAGGGAGAAGAGGGCCUUGAUGCGGAGGAGGGAGAGGGCUUCGUGGCGGGAUUCUUGCCAGACGUGGCGGGACUCGAAGCGUGUGG